AUGUCGGACGAAGGGGAGGACGCGCCCGUGGCGGCGGUGGCGGCGGGCUUCGGGCUGCCGGAGGAGCUGGCGGCCGUGCUGCCGGCGGACCCAUUCGAGCAGCUGGACGUGGCGCGCAAGAUCACCUCCAUCGCGCUCGCGUCCCGCGUCGGCCGCCUCGAGGCGGAGGCCGCGGGGCUCCGCGCGCAGCUCGCCCAGCGCGACGACGCCGCCGAGGACCUCCGCGAGCGCGUCGAGCAGCUCGAGUCCGCGCUCGCGCUCGCCACCGACCGCCUCAGCCGCGCCGAGGACGACAAGGAGACGCUGCUGAAAGAGAAGGCGACGCUGUCAAACACCGUCAACAAGCUCAACAGAGAUGUCGCCAAGCUGGAAGUUUUCAAGAAGACGCUUAUGCAGUCACUUCAGGAAGAUGAUGACAAACCCAACAUUCCCAAGGCUAAGCUCACCGAAGCUUCGAGUUUCUCCCCUGCACCAUCUCUUGGAGACGACGAUUCAGCAUUUCCAACUUCUAAUUCAUCACAGUUGUUUGAAACUGCAAGUUCUGCUUCAGAGGAAAGUAGCCAUGCUGAGCCAGACGUGCCUAGGCCACCCCGCUCGCAUGUAUAUAUGCCAUCGUACAACAGUACACCAAAGCUUACUCCUCCAGGCUCACCUCCAAGGGGUUAUGCACCACUUUCACCACCAAGGAGACAUUCAAUCUCGAUUGCGUCAAUGAACAGGCUCGAUGACAGGUCUUCGGUCUUUUCCAGUAGCAAUAGCGCAAUGACAUCUCCAUUUGACACACCAAGUCCAACAGGACGAACACGAGUUGAUGGAAAAGAGUUCUUUCGCCAAGUCAGAAACCGCCUGUCUUAUGAGCAGUUCAGCGCAUUCCUAGCCAAUGUGAAGGAACUGAAUGCACACAAGCAGACCAGAGAGGAUACACUAAGAAAAGCUGAUGCGAUAUUUGGACCUGAAAACAGUGACUUGUACACCAUCUUUGAGAGUCUAAUUACUCGCACUCAUCAUUAG
RNAcentral lists this ribosomal RNA (1011 nucleotides) under Triticum aestivum (bread wheat). RNAcentral's name for it is "partial small subunit ribosomal RNA". The record is from RNAcentral. Lineage: Eukaryota; Viridiplantae; Streptophyta; Magnoliopsida; Poales; Poaceae.